Molecule: small nucleolar RNA, 92 nt
Organism: Larimichthys crocea (large yellow croaker)
Lineage: Eukaryota; Metazoa; Chordata; Actinopteri; Sciaenidae
Source: Ensembl
UGUCUCCCCUGAUGACCUGCACUGGGCUCUGAGUCUGCAUGAAGACCAAAGUGCGUCUCUGGCCCUGACAAGCCAGAGUUUCUGAGGAGACA